RNAcentral lists this ribosomal RNA (688 nucleotides) under Enterococcus faecalis. RNAcentral's name for it is "bacterial SSU rRNA". It matches the Rfam family "Bacterial small subunit ribosomal RNA", at positions 1 to 660 of the family's 1533-position model. Lineage: Bacteria; Bacillati; Bacillota; Bacilli; Lactobacillales; Enterococcaceae. The record is from RNAcentral.
UUUUUAGAGUUUGNNUUNCCCGCUCAGGACGAACGCUGGCGGCGUGCCUAAUACAUGCAAGUCGAACGCUUCUUUCCUCCCGAGUGCUUGCACUCAAUUGGAAAGAGGAGUGGCGGACGGGUGAGUAACACGUGGGUAACCUACCCAUCAGAGGGGGAUAACACUUGGAAACAGGUGCUAAUACCGCAUAACAGUUUAUGCCGCAUGGCAUAAGAGUGAAAGGCGCUUUCGGGUGUCGCUGAUGGAUGGACCCGCGGUGCAUUAGCUAGUUGGUGAGGUAACGGCUCACCAAGGCCACGAUGCAUAGCCGACCUGAGAGGGUGAUCGGCCACACUGGGACUGAGACACGGCCCAGACUCCUACGGGAGGCAGCAGUAGGGAAUCUUCGGCAAUGGACGAAAGUCUGACCGAGCAACGCCGCGUGAGUGAAGAAGGUUUUCGGAUCGUAAAACUCUGUUGUUAGAGAAGAACAAGGACGUUAGUAACUGAACGUCCCCUGACGGUAUCUAACCAGAAAGCCACGGCUAACUACGUGCCAGCAGCCGCGGUAAUACGUAGGUGGCAAGCGUUGUCCGGAUUUAUUGGGCGUAAAGCGAGCGCAGGCGGUUUCUUAAGUCUGAUGUGAAAGCCCCCGGCUCAACCGGGGAGGGUCAUUGGAAACUGGGAGACUUGAGUGCAGAAGAGGAGA